RNAcentral lists this ribosomal RNA (496 nucleotides) under uncultured bacterium. Its description in RNAcentral is "partial 16S ribosomal RNA". It matches the Rfam family "Bacterial small subunit ribosomal RNA", at positions 28 to 506 of the family's 1533-position model. The record is from RNAcentral.
GAUGAACGCUGGCGGCGUGCCUAAUACAUGCAAGUCGAGCGAACAGACGAGGAGCUUGCUCCUCUGACGUUAGCGGCGGACGGGUGAGUAACACGUGGAUAACCUACCUAUAAGACUGGGAUAACUUCGGGAAACCGGAGCUAAUACCGGAUAAUAUAUUGAACCGCAUGGUUCAAUAGUGAAAGACGGUUUUGCUGUCACUUAUAGAUGGAUCCGCGCCGCAUUAGCUAGUUGGUAAGGUAACGGCUUACCAAGGCGACGAUGCGUAGCCGACCUGAGAGGGUGAUCGGCCACACUGGAACUGAGACACGGUCCAGACUCCUACGGGAGGCAGCAGUAGGGAAUCUUCCGCAAUGGGCGAAAGCUUGACGGAGCAACGCCGCGUGAGUGAUGAAGGUCUGCGGAUCGUAAAACUCUGUUAUUAGGGAAGAACAAAUGUGUAAGUAACGAUGCACGUCUUGACGGUACCUAAGCAGAAAGCCACGGCUAACUACGU